UAGGGAAUAUUGCGCAAUGGAGGAAACUCUGACGCAGCGACGCCGCGUGAGUGAUGAAGGCCUUCGGGUCGUAAAGCUCUGUCGCAGGGGAAUAACACAAUGAAGGUACCCUGUAAGAAAGGAUCGGCUAACUUCGUGCCAGCAGCCGCGGUAAGACGAGGGAUCCAAGCGUUGUUCGGAAUCAUUGGGCGUAAAGCGGGUGUAGGUGGCUUUGUAAGUCAGGUGUGAAAUCCCAGGGCUCAACCCUGGACGUGCAUUUGAUACUGCAGAGCUUGAGUGUGGGAGAGGUUACUAGAAUACCUGGUGUAGUGGUGAAAUACGUAGAUAUCAGGUGGAAUACCGGAGGCGAAGGCGGGUAACUGGCCUAACACUGACACUCAGACCCGAAAGCGUGGGGAUCAAACA
RNAcentral lists this ribosomal RNA (405 nucleotides) under uncultured Bdellovibrio sp. Its description in RNAcentral is "bacterial SSU rRNA". It matches the Rfam family "Bacterial small subunit ribosomal RNA", at positions 355 to 774 of the family's 1533-position model. Lineage: Bacteria; Pseudomonadati; Bdellovibrionota; Bdellovibrionia; Bdellovibrionales; Pseudobdellovibrionaceae. The record is from RNAcentral.